This 119-nucleotide ribosomal RNA is filed under the name Pteropus alecto (black flying fox). Lineage: Eukaryota; Metazoa; Chordata; Mammalia; Chiroptera; Pteropodidae. The record is from RNAcentral.
GUCUAUGGCCAUGCCACCCUGAACAAGCCCGAUCCCGUCUACUCUUGGAAGCUAAGCAGGGUCGGGCCUGGUUAGUACUUGGGUGGGAGACCACCUAGGAAGACCAGGUACCGUAGGUG